AUAAUGCUUCUCUUGAGAGCGGCGGACGGGUGAGUAAUGCCUAGGAAUCUGCCUGGUAGUGGGGGAUAACGUUCGGAAACGGACGCUAAUACCGCAUACGUCCUACGGCAGAAAGCAGGGGACCUUCGGGCCUUGCGCUAUCAGAUGAGCCUAGGUCGGAUUAGCUAGUUGGUGAGGUAAUGGCUCACCAAGGCGACGAUCCGUAACUGGUCUGAGAGGAUGAUCAGUCACACUGGAACUGAGACACGGUCCAGACUCCUACGGGAGGCAGCAGUGGGGAAUAUUGGACAAUGGGCGAAAGCCUGAUCCAGCCAUGCCGCGUGUGUGAAGAAGGUCUUCGGAUUGUAAAGCACUUUAAGUUGGGAGGAAGGGCAGUUACCUAAUACGUGAUUGUUUUGACGUUACCGACAGAAUAAGCACCGGCUAACUCUGUGCCAGCAGCCGCGGUAAUACAGAGGGUGCAAGCGUUAAUCGGAAUUACUGAACGUAAAGCGCGCGUAGGUGGUUAGUUAAGUUGAAUGUGAAAUCCCCGGGCUCAACCUGGGAACUGCAUUCAAAACUGACUGACUAGAGUAUGGUAGAGGGUGGUGAAAUUUCCUGAGUAGGCGG
This 609-nucleotide ribosomal RNA is filed under the name Pseudomonas sp. RNAcentral describes it as "bacterial SSU rRNA". It matches the Rfam family "Bacterial small subunit ribosomal RNA", at positions 77 to 682 of the family's 1533-position model. The record is from RNAcentral. Lineage: Bacteria; Pseudomonadati; Pseudomonadota; Gammaproteobacteria; Pseudomonadales; Pseudomonadaceae.